Molecule: ribosomal RNA, 466 nt
Filed under: uncultured bacterium
Lineage: Bacteria
Description: partial 16S ribosomal RNA
Rfam family: Bacterial small subunit ribosomal RNA
Source: RNAcentral
GAUGAACGCUGGCGGCGUGCUUAACACAUGCAAGUCGAACGGAAAGGCCACAGCUUGCUGUGGUACUCGAGUGGCGAACGGGUGAGUAACACGUGGGUGAUCUGCCCUGUACUUCGGGAUAAGCUUGGGAAACUGGGUCUAAUACCGGAUAGGAAUCACAUGUGGGUGUGUGGUUGGAAAGCUUUUGCGGUAUGGGAUGAGCUCGCGGCCUAUCAGCUUGUUGGCGGGGUAAUGGCCUACCAAGGCGUCGACGGGUAGCCGGCCUGAGAGGGUGUACGGCCACAUUGGGACUGAGAUACGGCCCAGACUCCUACGGGAGGCAGCAGUGGGGAAUAUUGCACAAUGGGCGCAAGCCUGAUGCAGCGACGCCGCGUGGGGGAUGACGGCCUUCGGGUUGUAAACUCCUUUCGUCAGGGACGAAGCGAAAGUGACGGUACCUGGAUAAGAAGCACCGGCUAACUACGUG